UCGGCCUGAGCAGGGCUGGCCAAGUGACAGGAAGGUGGCCUGGACAUGUGUGCCCCUAGCUCUGCAUCCAUGGAGGCAGCCACCUCAUCUUCAUCCUGCGCAUAGCCAGCUCAUUAACAACCAGCUUUUGACAUUUGAUGAGCUGUUUUUCUGAGAAGUGAGUUUUUAUAAUUGUUUUAGUUCUUCUGAGCUGUAUGCUGAGAUUGCUUUAAAAAAUAUUUAAAAGGCUUGAUUCCUUUGAAGGAGGUAGGGAUGGAGCUGAAUAGGGUGUUUAUUUAGUGGACCUUGAAUUUCAUCUUCAAAUAUAAAGAGCUGCUUCCCUUUCCAAAGUAAGAAAAGAAGAAUGUGAAGUCAAAUCCCUUAAGUUACGUGUGGAGACACUUUCCCAUUUAUUUGGGAGUGUAGUUUCUAAUUUUGAUUUUUUUUCAGAAGUUUUAACAAAUUGAAGGGAAGAUUCACCCCACUGCAAUGAUGCUCACCAGCGCUGUUAAUUUACUGCAAACUCUGUCUGCUGGAGCCCAUGCUGAAGUCAUGCAGAGUGAAGACACCAAGACUGCGUGGACUGCUGCGCAUGUUGGUGGAGAGGGCAAGGAUGGACAAGACAUACUUCUUAGCCUUGGCCUGGGAAUUUAGGACACAGAUUAAAUAUGAAUGAGCUCAUGGAGGAUGUUUAAAACGUGAGAUUUCAAACCAGUAGGAAGUUUCCUCACAGAGAACUGCUGUUGGAAUUGUGAGUUGUCUCCCUACUGCACAGGAAGGGAUGAAGAAACUAACCUAGAAAUGAAUUCAGCUUAAUUUUAAGUGUAAGAAGCAGGCAGCACCCUGGACUCCGCUCCCCAAGCUUGCUGUCUGUCUGUGCUAGGCCCUGUGGGAGGGCUAGUUUCCUGAUUCUGAGGACCCAGAGGUGGGGGGCUUCAUGGCGGUCCUGGCCGUGGGCAGAGGCAUUGACAGUCGGUUGCACCUGGAAGGACAAGUCAUGCGCAAGGAGUUUGGAGAAGGCACUGUGACUCCCAUCACCCCGAAGGGCAGGAUCACCAUGCAGCUCCGUGACAUGUGCGCCUGUCAUGUGUACCCCCUGAACCAAC
Molecule: non-coding RNA, 1085 nt
Organism: Vicugna pacos (alpaca)
Lineage: Eukaryota; Metazoa; Chordata; Mammalia; Artiodactyla; Camelidae
Source: RefSeq, a predicted model, not a curated record